GCCUCUAUAGCUCAGUGGCAGAGUACUGGUCUUGUAAUUAUGGGUCGAGAGUUCGAUCUUCUCUGGAGGCA
This 71-nucleotide transfer RNA is filed under the name Caligus rogercresseyi. It matches the Rfam family "tRNA". Rfam says of the family: Transfer RNA (tRNA) molecules are approximately 80 nucleotides in length. Lineage: Eukaryota; Metazoa; Arthropoda; Copepoda; Siphonostomatoida; Caligidae. The record is from Rfam by way of RNAcentral.